Molecule: ribosomal RNA, 253 nt
Filed under: uncultured bacterium
Lineage: Bacteria
Description: partial 16S ribosomal RNA
Rfam family: Bacterial small subunit ribosomal RNA
Source: RNAcentral
UACGAAGGGGACUAGCGUUGUUCGGAAUCACUGGGCGUAAAGCGCACGUAGGCGGAUUUGUAAGUCAGGGGUGAAAUCCCGGGGCUCAACCUCGGAACUGCCUUUGAUACUGCGAAUCUCGAGUCCGAUAGAGGUGGGUGGAAUUCCUAGUGUAGAGGUGAAAUUCGUAGAUAUUAGGAAGAACACCGGUGGCGAAGGCGGCCCACUGGAUCGGUACUGACGCUGAGGUGCGAAAGCGUGGGGAGCGAACAGG